CGUGUAGGCGGUUGGUUAAGUCGGGUGUGAAAGCCCGGGGCUUAUCUUCGGAAGUGCAUCCGAAACUGGCCAACUAGAGCGCGGUAGAGGAGGGUGGAAUUCCUGGUGUAGCGGUGAAAUGCGUAGAUAUCAGGAGGAACACCGGCGGCGAAGGCGGCCCUCUGGACCGUUGCUGACGCUGAGACGCGAAAGCGUGGGGAGCAAACAGGAUUAGAUACCCUGGUAGUCCACGCUGUAAACUAGUGGGUACUAGGUGUUCGGGGUGUUCGACCCCCUGAGUGCCGACGCUAACGCAUUAACGUACCCCGCCGUGGGGACUACGGCCGCAAGGUUAAA
Molecule: ribosomal RNA, 336 nt
Filed under: uncultured bacterium
Lineage: Bacteria
Description: bacterial SSU rRNA
Rfam family: Bacterial small subunit ribosomal RNA
Source: RNAcentral